AACCCAUGUUGAUGACAUUUCUACAAGAGCUCCUUGAACCUAUCCCAUGUUUCAAAAGGGGACUCCAAUUCUGUUUGCACUAAAAGAGGAUAGUUCUUUCCUAUGCU
Molecule: small nucleolar RNA, 107 nt
Organism: Dioscorea cayenensis subsp. rotundata (Guinea yam)
Lineage: Eukaryota; Viridiplantae; Streptophyta; Magnoliopsida; Dioscoreales; Dioscoreaceae
Source: RefSeq, a predicted model, not a curated record